GAUGAACGCUGGCGGCGUGCCUAAUACAUGCGAGUCGAGCGAACAGACGAGGAGCUUGCUCCUUUGACGUUAGCGGCGGACGGGUGAGUAACACGUAGGUAACCUACCUAUAAGACUGGGAUAACUUCGGGAAACCAGAGCUAAUACCGGAUAAUAUUUCGAACCGCAUGGUUCGAUAGUGAAAGAUGGCUUUGCUAUCACUUAUAGAUGGACCUGCGCCGUAUUAGCUAGUUGGUAAGGUAACGGCUUACUAAGGCAACGAUACGUAGCCGACCUGAGAGGGUGAUCGGCCACACUGGAACUGAGACACGGUCCAGACUCCUACGGGAGGCAGCAGUAGGGAAUCUUCCGCAAUGGGCGAAAGCCUGACGGAGCAACGCCGCGUGAGUGAUGAAGGUCUUCGGAUCGUAAAACUCUGUUAUUAGGGAAGAACAAACGUGUAAGUAACUGUGCACGUCUUGACGGUACCUAAUCAGAAAGCCACGGCUAACUACGUG
This 497-nucleotide ribosomal RNA is filed under the name uncultured bacterium. RNAcentral's name for it is "partial 16S ribosomal RNA". It matches the Rfam family "Bacterial small subunit ribosomal RNA", at positions 28 to 507 of the family's 1533-position model. The record is from RNAcentral.